This is a long non-coding RNA of Rosa chinensis, 1899 nucleotides long. RefSeq lists it as uncharacterized. NCBI's taxonomy places the organism in Eukaryota, Viridiplantae, Streptophyta, Magnoliopsida, Rosales, Rosaceae. The record is from RefSeq and is a predicted model, not a curated record. The transcript has 3 exons.
CACAAUUUUUUUCUUUCCUUUUCUCUCGCUCAGUUGCUCUGCUGACUCUCCUCGCUCUGAACUGUACGGAGCUUUCAAAUUUCAAUUGGUUUGGGAGAAAGCUCAGAAGCUACAAGCUGCAACUUGAAGGCACCAAUUAAACAACAUAGUUUGCAAUUCAGCGAUUACAUUUCAAUUGAUGGGAAGUUGUAAACCUAAUCGAGAAGAGAAGGAAGAAGAUGUAUAUGGGUAAUUGGGUAUUGUGGUUUAAUUUGCAAUGCUUUUUCACGUCUUCAGAUAUCCUAGAAUGGUGCUCUAAUUGAUUUCCCAGGUUUCAAACUCUGUGCAUGUAUAAGUUUUUGUGCGGUUUUGGGUUUUUUUUUUUUUUCCUUUCUUUUUUCCAAAUCUCGGUUGCUUCUAAUAGCUUCUGUGCUUCGCGGUCUUGGUUAUUAAUGAUUUUGAUUUGUUCGUUUUAGGUAUUUUAGUCGCCUGCUUAAAGCUUUGAAAUUAGGUUCCAGAGCCUUUGGGUCCGAUAGAGGAAUUUGAGUUGCAAUCUUCUUCAGGUUAGACCUUUUUUUAUUUCCAAGAAAAUAAGUUUUUUGAAAUUGUUAGCUAGUUUUGAAAUUGGCAUUCAAAAAUUUAUGUUCUUAAAUUGUUCUUUUGUUGCUGAUAUUGCUUGCUUCUAUGUUUUGGGGUUUACUCUUGAGUUUGUGAAGGGUAAAGAUUGAUUCUUUUCUCAUGUAAAUUGAGGGGACUGAUGGGAAUUUAAAGAAAUGGGGUUUAUGUUGUUAGUUAAAACGGGAUGUGUGUCCCGCUAAACAAAGUUUGGGUCUUUUCUCAUGUAAAUUGAGAGGGUUGAAGGGAAUUUGAAGAGAUAGAACAGGUAUACGUUCUAUUCUGAUUUCUGAAUUUGGUUUGAUUUCUGUUGUGAUGUUCUUUUAAAUGAUUAUCUCUAAAAAUUAACUGUUCUCAUCUCAUACAGUAGAUGACAGAGCUUCAAACUCUUAUUUGGUUGGAGGGCAAUAUCGACAGAAAGAGUCCUCUGAAAAUUUCAACUACUCCACAAGAUUAUGGGCACUAAUUAUGGUGAUCAUGAUUUGACUGUGUGUGUAAAAACUCAAGAGGAAGUUGAUGAAGACAGGAUCAGUAAAAUGCCAGAUGAUGUUCUCUGCUUUCAGGUCAAGAUAGGUUGCUAUUCUGUACAUAUACUUAAAACACCUUUGUGGAAGGAGACCUCACGUAUUCCAAAUGAUGAAGAACCCAGUUGUGAUGGCGUAAGUAGACUUGCAAACCAUACAUUCAGCCAUAUGGGCAAGCAUUACCCCUGGAGCUGUAUUGAUCGUUAUGGCUCGAAGAUUCAAGGGCAAUAGGGUUGUCUUUUUGAAGCAUCAUUCUUCUUGCUUGCUUUUGGUCACUGUUAAGUUAUUGUUUUUCUUCACUAUGUGAGAAAUUCUUUUUACUUUUGGUUACCAAGUAGUGCCUUUUGAUGAAUGUUACAUGUAGUUUGCUAUGUUUGAGUGUCAUUGUGGAUGUAUAAUGUAUGUAAUGUUUGCAAAUGUAGUAUUAUUGCUGACCACCCGCAGCAUCGCGCGGGCUGCAAUACCUAGUUAGAUACUAGUGUCAAGUUUCAUGCAUUGUUGCCUCAGAAUCUGGCUCCCCUACAGUCAGAUAAUGUACAGUUUUUAUAAACUCUGUUUCUCCGUAUACAGGACAAAGAUGGAUCCCUCUCACUCCCUCCCUCCCGGCAUAUCAUGAAGAUUUAUAUAGAUUUUGGCAAUUUGAAUUUUGAAACUGGAUCAGCAGUGAUAUAUGUUCAGUUGUUCACGUCUUAUAUACAAAUGUAUUCAGUUGUUCAUCCAUUGUUUUGUAAGUGUUGGAAUUUAGUUAGAAUAUUUCAAAAUACCUGUUAUAUUUGAAAUC